RNAcentral lists this small nuclear RNA (101 nucleotides) under Ochotona princeps (American pika). Lineage: Eukaryota; Metazoa; Chordata; Mammalia; Lagomorpha; Ochotonidae. The record is from RNAcentral.
AUGCUUGCUUCGGCAGCACAUAUGCCAAAAUUGGAAUGAUACAGAGAAGAUUUGCAUGGUUCCUGUGCAAAGAUGAACAAUUUCCAACAUACUUGUAUUUU